Molecule: ribosomal RNA, 429 nt
Filed under: Gemmatimonadota bacterium
Lineage: Bacteria; Pseudomonadati; Gemmatimonadota
Description: Gemmatimonadetes bacterium partial 16S ribosomal RNA
Rfam family: Bacterial small subunit ribosomal RNA
Source: RNAcentral
UAGGGAAUCUUCGGCAAUGGACGAAAGUCUGACCGAGCAACGCCGCGUGAGUGAAGAAGGUUUUCGGAUCGUAAAACUCUGUUGUUAGAGAAGAACAAGGACGUUAGUAACUGAACGUCCCCUGACGGUAUCUAACCAGAAAGCCACGGCUAACUACGUGCCAGCAGCCGCGGUAAUACGUAGGUGGCAAGCGUUGUCCGGAUUUAUUGGGCGUAAAGCGAGCGCAGGCGGUUUCUUAAGUCUGAUGUGAAAGCCCCCGGCUCAACCGGGGAGGGGCAUUGGGAAAUGGGGAACUUGAGGGCAGAAGAGGAGAGUGGAAUUUCAUUGGUAGCGGUGAAAUGCCUAGGUAUAUGGAGGAACACCAGUGGCGAAGGCGGCUCUCUUGUCUGUAACUGACGCUGAGGCUCGAAAGCGUGGGGAGCAAACAGG